UGUACUACCUUAGUAACUUAAUUACACACUAUCACUUGACUUAAGCAUUUUAUAGACAACGAUUGUACAUGUGUACAGUGUUUUGUGAAGCACCUAUUUGGUCCUCACAACUCUGUGAAGUAGAUUAAGGAAAGAGCAUGGGGUUUGACAUCCAGAAAGGCAUGUUCAAACCCUGACACCUUUCAGAGCUGGAGAUGCUAUCAACCUCACAGCUUUAUUGGGAGGACAGAGCUUCACAAACUCAGUGUGAGUCUUUCUCCUUAUUUUGAAAGAUGAAGAUCUUCAAGUCCAGAGAGCGGAUGCAUACAAUGUUGUGCUGGGGACAAGGAGCAAAGCCAGGACUGAACUGGGAUUAAGUGACUCAUCCGGGAUCACACAGCCAGGAAGUUUAAGUUUCUGAGGCCAAAUUUGAACUCGGGUCUUCCUGACUUCAGGGCUGGUGCUCUAACCACUGCAUCACCUAGCUGCCCCUCAAAUGAUCAUCUUAAGUCUGCAAGAAGCAUAUUAAUUUACACAAUUAGCUUCUGACAAUGUAAAAUUAAUUUUUAUAUGUUACCAUUAUUCAUUAUAGUAUUAUUUUGAAUUUCUCUUCAAUGGAGAAAUCUCUUUGUACACAAUUCUUUCCUCUAUAAGAUAAAGAUCAAAUUAAUAAAUCUGACAAUAGGGAAUAAAAAAUUAAAUUGGAGCUAAGCAAGUUGAUCUCUAAAUCAACAGGUGCUUAUUAUCAUUAUUUUUAAAAAAUUAUUUUCAAAACAAUCGUUCAUUAAUAAAUUCUAUCUUAUCCCUUGAUUCAGCCUUUUUCCACCAUUGAGAAAGCUCUAUGUGUGUGGGUAUGUAUCAGUUAUUUCUAUAUAUAUGUUCUAUCAAUGUAUUUCUAUAUUAGUCAGAAUAAGACAAAUCUUAAGUUGCAAAAAAUUCAGAAUAAAAAUAAAGAGAAAGUGUAGGAAAGAAUGUCUCCUUUACUCUAAAUAGCUUUGUUUUCAUUGCCUUUUGUAUGUACUGAAAGAUGACAAGAAACACAUUAAAAAGGAACAAUUUAA
Sarcophilus harrisii (Tasmanian devil) is the source of this 1040-nucleotide long non-coding RNA. RefSeq lists it as uncharacterized. The record is from RefSeq and is a predicted model, not a curated record. The transcript is spliced from 2 exons. Lineage: Eukaryota; Metazoa; Chordata; Mammalia; Dasyuromorphia; Dasyuridae.